GUAGGUGGCAAGCGUUGUCCGGAAUUAUUGGGCGUAAAGCGCGCGCAGGCGGUCCUUUAAGUCUGAUGUGAAAGCCCACGGCUCAACCGUGGAGGGUCAUUGGAAACUGGGGGACUUGAGUACAGAAGAGGAAAGCGGAAUUCCACGUGUAGCGGUGAAAUGCGUAGAGAUGUGGAGGAACACCAGUGGCGAAGGCGGCUUUCUGGUCUGUAACUGACGCUGAGGCGCGAAAGCGUGGGGAGCAAACAGGGAUUAGAUACCCUGGUAGUCCACGCCGUAAACGAUGAGUGCUAAGUGUUAGGGGGUUUCCGCCCCCUUAGUGCUGCAGCUAACGCAUUAAGCACUCCGCCUGGGGAGUACGGCCGCAAGGUUG
RNAcentral lists this ribosomal RNA (373 nucleotides) under uncultured organism. RNAcentral describes it as "partial 16S ribosomal RNA". It matches the Rfam family "Bacterial small subunit ribosomal RNA", at positions 527 to 896 of the family's 1533-position model. The record is from RNAcentral.